CCAAGGCGACGAUCCGUAACUGGUCUGAGAGGAUGAUCAGUCACACUGGAACUGAGACACGGUCCAGACUCCUACGGGAGGCAGCAGUGGGGAAUAUUGGACAAUGGGCGAAAGCCUGAUCCAGCCAUGCCGCGUGUGUGAAGAAGGUCUUCGGAUUGUAAAGCACUUUAAGUUGGGAGGAAGGGCCAUUACCUAAUACGUGAUGGUUUUGACGUUACCGACAGAAUAAGCACCGGCUAACUCUGUGCCAGCAGCCGCGGUAAUACAGAGGGUGCAAGCGUUAAUCGGAAUUACUGGGCGUAAAGCGCGCGUAGGUGGUUUGUUAAGUUGGAUGUGAAAUCCCCGGGCUCAACCUGGGAACUGCAUUCAAAACUGACUGACUAGAGUAUGGUAGAGGGUGGUGGAAUUUCCUGUGUAGCGGUGAAAUGCGUAGAUAUAGGAAGGAACACC
This 450-nucleotide ribosomal RNA is filed under the name Pseudomonas sp. Z33. RNAcentral's name for it is "bacterial SSU rRNA". It matches the Rfam family "Bacterial small subunit ribosomal RNA", at positions 268 to 710 of the family's 1533-position model. The record is from RNAcentral. Lineage: Bacteria; Pseudomonadati; Pseudomonadota; Gammaproteobacteria; Pseudomonadales; Pseudomonadaceae.